CUGUAUUGCCUCUUGUAUAUUUUUUUUUUUUCUCUUCAGUGAUGGUGGCAGUAACCAUGUCUUUUAAUUUGUCGAUUUUCAUAGCCUAUGGAACGUAUUAAAGUGACUGUUUGUCUAGAAAUGUGGACAUGUAUCCACACAUAGACACUGCAUUUUACAGAUACUUUAAAAGUAAAGUGAAGCUAUAUAUGGACGGAUCCGUACUAUUUCUUUGACCUACUGAAUGCACAGUCUAAAACCAUUUUUCUCCCACUGCCAUGGAUAUUGUGUUCUAUAUACAGCUCUCUGUUCUCUGAUAUGUAUUGUAACACAGUGUGUUGGUUAGCAUUGGGCUGAUGAUGGAAGGGUAGGGGUUAAUGAAUGAUUGCAGCUGACUUCCAUACCUCACACAGCGUUGGUGUUGAGUGAGUGAGCGACCUCAUGAAAGAAAAAGGCAAAUUAAUAAACCCUCAAGGAUCAAACUGUCAAACUAUUCAGGGGACGCUGGGAAAUCUGGAGGAGGAAGAUCUGAAGACCACCUGUCGCUCCACCCUGAACCUGUCUCUGCGCUGCUUAAAACAAGGUGAACCACAGAUGUAGUGGCUUAUUAAAACAACUGUGACAUCUAAAUCACAACAAAAGACACGUGUGUAAAGGUGCCCUCUGUUGUCCUCCUGUUGUUUUUUUUGGAAGAUCACAUUUUUAGCGCAGGACCAGACAUUCUUCAUUCAGUUUUCCGUUGUAUUUCUUUCCUUCAUCGUUUCUGAUAUAAAGGACCUUGUCUAGUAGCUGCUGAGGUAGAAUGGUACAUUAAGGCUUUUAUCUAUGUUCUGUUUCUCAUGCAGUUUUUAUGACAAAUAAAAACCGUGCUUGUUUUGGUUUGUAAUGUCAGGUUUCCACUCUUUCACGGUUUGACUUUUUUUGGGAAAUCAGUUUGGGAAGUGUUUGUACAAUGUUAGUCAGGAGCAUCUCUUUCUCUCCUCUCUCCUUCCCACCCACCAGAUCUCACACCCACUGACUGAUCUCUCUAGCCCCUUACUGUAAAAUAUAGUGAGAUUGAAUUGAUCUUUUUUUGUUCUGAUUUUUAAACCUGUUCAUCUUGAUCAAUAAAAAGAGAGCUUGAAU
This is a long non-coding RNA of Oncorhynchus tshawytscha (Chinook salmon), 1104 nucleotides long. Lineage: Eukaryota; Metazoa; Chordata; Actinopteri; Salmoniformes; Salmonidae. The record is from Ensembl.